RNAcentral lists this ribosomal RNA (538 nucleotides) under Gobiesox rhessodon (California clingfish). RNAcentral's name for it is "partial 16S ribosomal RNA". It matches the Rfam family "Bacterial large subunit ribosomal RNA", at positions 1922 to 2613 of the family's 2925-position model. The record is from RNAcentral. Lineage: Eukaryota; Metazoa; Chordata; Actinopteri; Blenniiformes; Gobiesocidae.
AUUUAACGGCCGCGGUAUUUUGACCGUGCAAAGGUAGCGCAAUCACUUGUCUUUUAAAUGAAGACCUGUAUGAAUGGCAUAACGAGGGCUUAGCUGUCUCCCCCUUUCAAUCAAUGAAAUUGAUCUCCCCGUGCAGAAGCGGGGAUUUAAUUAUAAGACGAGAAGACCCUGUGGAGCUUUAAACACAGAAGGGGACACAACCACAUUAGCCUUAUAACUGAGCUAAACCCUUUGUGCCCCUCUUUGCUGUUUUUGGUUGGGGCGACCACGGGGGAAAACUUAGCCCCCACGAGGAAUGAAAGCAAUACCUUUUAAAAAGAAGAACCUCAGUUCUACAACACAGAACAUCUGACCACCAGAUCCGGCAAUGCCGAUCAACGAACCGAGUUACCCCAGGGAUAACAGCGCAAUCCUCUCCCAGAGCCCAUAUCGACGAGAGGGUUUACGACCUCGAUGUUGGAUCAGGACAUCCUAAUGGUGCAGCCGCUAUUAAGGGUUCGUUUGUUCAACGAUUAAAGUCCUACGUGAUCUGAGUUCA